GACGAACCGAGCGACCGUUGUUCGGAAUCACUGGGCUUAAAGGGCGCGUAGGCGGGCCUGCCAGUCUGUGGUGAAAUCCUCCGGCUCAACCGGAGAACUGCCUCGGAUACUGCGGGUCUCGAGGGUGAUAGGGGUAUGCGGAACUAUCGGUGGAGCGGUGAAAUGCGUUGAUAUCGAUAGGAACUCCGGUGGCGAAGGCGGCAUACUGGAUCACUUCUGACGCUGAGGCGCGAAAGCCAGGGGAGCAAACGGG
This 253-nucleotide ribosomal RNA is filed under the name uncultured bacterium. RNAcentral describes it as "partial 16S ribosomal RNA". It matches the Rfam family "Bacterial small subunit ribosomal RNA", at positions 524 to 776 of the family's 1533-position model. The record is from RNAcentral.